Molecule: long non-coding RNA, 689 nt
Organism: Suricata suricatta (meerkat)
Lineage: Eukaryota; Metazoa; Chordata; Mammalia; Carnivora; Herpestidae
Exons: 3
Source: RefSeq, a predicted model, not a curated record
UGCAGCUGAACUGGGCCGGCCUGCUGAGUGCCCAGCCUGAGGAAGCAGGCAAAGAGCCGGGCCCGGGGGCCAGACACCACAGUGGCCAGUGGGGUCAUCUUCACGCUGGGUCAGGCUGGAAAGGAGCAGACAAAGCUGUGCAUAAGAUGUAGGAGAACACAGAGAGACAUCUGUAUAAUUCCUUGCCGAAAAGGACACCUGAGACCUUGAUGGAACAGAAACAGUACAGAAGAAACCCACCUUCUGCAACCCAGACUUCAGAGCAAGAGGAGUGGAAGACACCACCAAGUUGGAUGUUGCUGUUCGGUAGCGAAGGAAGCUGUUUUUCAGGGAACGGACAGUUGUUACAUAUUAUCCACAAAAUGACAGAACACCAGCAAAACUCUUCACUUCCCAAAAGAGGGAAACCAUUUUUUCAUGGUCUUGACACUGUAUCUUAAACCUCCCUGGAAACGGUGAAACGAUAAUGAUCUAGAAGGAGGCCUGGCUGAGUUCCUGGUUUCCAGCCACCCCAUCCAACUUAACCUCGCCAUCCCCGUCCAGCCUAACACGCCGUGGUUUUUCUCUUGAAAGAGGGAGGGUUCACGCAAAUAUUUCCCUCAUUCAGCCAAGAAAGCUGGUUCUGUUUUAUUUCGGCAGCUAUGCAUAGCCUGUUUCUGGAUUCAGUAUUUAUAAAUACAAAGUCCUCU